GGACGGCCCAGCCCGCGCCGCCGCCGUCAGACCAGUCGGACGGCUUCGCCCCCAGCCCGCCCCUCCCCGGCCGCGCCACAGCCAGCCCUUCCUCCCUCCCGGAAACCCAGUCAGUCCCUCCCGCCGGCGCCCCAGCAGGACGCGCCCGGCCCCCGCGCAGCCUCCGCCCGCAGCCCUGCGCUCCCGGCCAGCGCCCGGGCGCCGGGCCAUGGGGCAUCCGGGCCGGCGGGAGGCCGGAGCAGGAGCCCGGCGGGAAGUGGACACUGUAUUUUCUCUUCGUGGGGCCUAUGAAGAAGAGACAUUCAUUCAUUCAUUCAUUCAUUCAACUCAGGUGUUAGUACUGAGUGCUAACUACUAAUCAGGCAGUAGGAAGGAAAUGUUACCACUUGUCUCGUGUGUGGGGUGGCUGUCCAGACCUGCAGAUGGGCUCACGGCUUAAAGCACCGAGCUGCAUGACGGCUACAUUGCGAGGGCUU
Molecule: long non-coding RNA, 476 nt
Organism: Mustela erminea (ermine)
Lineage: Eukaryota; Metazoa; Chordata; Mammalia; Carnivora; Mustelidae
Exons: 3
Source: RefSeq, a predicted model, not a curated record